This 210-nucleotide ribosomal RNA is filed under the name uncultured bacterium. Its description in RNAcentral is "partial 16S ribosomal RNA". It matches the Rfam family "Bacterial small subunit ribosomal RNA", at positions 107 to 334 of the family's 1533-position model. The record is from RNAcentral.
UGCGUAACGCGUGGGAAUCUGCCCUUGGGUUCGGAAUAACAGUUAGAAAUGACUGCUAAUACCGAAUGAUGUCGCAAGACCAAAGAUUUAUCGCCCAGGGAUGAGCCCGCGUAGGAUUAGCUAGUUGGUGUGGUAAAAGCGCACCAAGGCGACGAUCCUUAGCUGGUCUGAGAGGAUGAUCAGCCACACUGGGACUGAGACACGGCCCAG